Eleginops maclovinus (Patagonian blennie) is the source of this 426-nucleotide long non-coding RNA. RefSeq lists it as uncharacterized. NCBI's taxonomy places the organism in Eukaryota, Metazoa, Chordata, Actinopteri, Perciformes, Eleginopidae. The record is from RefSeq and is a predicted model, not a curated record. The transcript has 4 exons.
UUUGCCCAUCUUGCAGAAGCUGGAGCAACAGUACACUGUGCAGGAAGGUGACUCUGCGUUCACAAGGAGCAUCAAGGAGAACAUUUGGAAGGAUCUCUCCAAACGCUACCAGGGAACUGACAUUCAGAGAUUCCUGGAGGAAGCCACCAUCUUGGACCCCAGAUUUAAAUACAAAGUGAAAAGUGAUGCAGUCUGGGACAGGAUCAGGGAAGCUGCAAUAACAGCAAAUACAGUGGCAGCAAGAGAUGAGCUCCCAGGGGAAGGAGAGACACAGAGGGAAGGCUGCGAAGAUGGGGAGGAGGAAGAAGUAGAGGAACACUAUGCACUGCCACCACCAUCAAAAAAGACAGCCUUGGAAGAACUAUUCGAGGAGGAGGACAACGAGCUGCAGUCAAUCCGUGAAUCACAGCCCCGUCUUUCCCUGGC